Molecule: ribosomal RNA, 467 nt
Filed under: uncultured bacterium
Lineage: Bacteria
Description: bacterial SSU rRNA
Rfam family: Bacterial small subunit ribosomal RNA
Source: RNAcentral
AAUCAACGCUGGCGGCGUGCCUAACACAUGCAAGUCGAACGAGAAAAUCUCCUUCGGGAGAUAAGUACAGUGGCGAACGGGUGAGUAACGCGUGGGUAACCUGCCCUGGGAAGGGGGAUAACACGAGGAAACUCGUGCUAAUACCGCAUACGCCUGUUGCGAGAGAUUGCAACAGGGAAAGUCCUUCGGGAUGUCCAAGGAGGGGCCCGCGUCCGAUUAGCUGGUUGGUGGAGUAACGGUUCACCAAGGCGACAAUCGGUAACCGGUCUGAGAGGACGGACGGUCACACUGGGACUGAGACACGGCCCAGACUCCUACGGGAGGCAGCAGUGGGGAAUUUUGCGCAAUGGGGGAAACCCUGACGCAGCAACGCCGCGUGAAGGAAGAAGGCUUUCGAGUUGUAAACUUCUGUUUCGGGGGACGAAGAAGUGACGGUACCCCGGCAGCAAGCCCCGGCUAACUCCGUG